RNAcentral lists this ribosomal RNA (253 nucleotides) under uncultured bacterium. RNAcentral describes it as "partial 16S ribosomal RNA". It matches the Rfam family "Bacterial small subunit ribosomal RNA", at positions 524 to 776 of the family's 1533-position model. The record is from RNAcentral.
GACGAACCGUGCGAACGUUGUUCGGAAUAACUGGGCUUAAAGGGCGCGUAGGCGGGCUGUCCAGUCUGGGGUGAAAUCCCGCGGCUCAACCGUGGAACUGCCUCAGAUACUGACGGCCUCGAGGGAGAUAGGGGCAUGCGGAACUGUAGGUGGAGCGGUGAAAUGCGUUGAUAUCUACAGGAACUCCGGUGGCGAAGGCGGCGUGCUGGAUCUCUUCUGACGCUGAGGCGCGAAAGCUAGGGGAGCAAACGGG